AAAAUUGUCACUUUGCUUCUUUACCUUUGGGUGUAGAGUCGCUAACCCGAUUUGUGAAACAGCAGAUGAGAAUCUCUUGAAAUAUCACCGCUGCCACGGCUGCUGCCGCUGCCGCUGCCAAAUAUUGAGUGAUCAUGAGCUCUCCUACAGACCCUCAAAAUCAAGCCCCGAACUCUCCCGCACAAGAUCCCAACCACAAUCAACAAGAAGACCCACCACAAUCAAAUGAUCCCCAAUCCCCUAAAACCCUAACCCUAG
Molecule: unclassified non-coding RNA, 258 nt
Filed under: Hevea brasiliensis (rubber tree)
Lineage: Eukaryota; Viridiplantae; Streptophyta; Magnoliopsida; Malpighiales; Euphorbiaceae
Source: RNAcentral